GUCUACGGCCAUGCCACCCUGAACAAGCCCAAUCCCAUCUGAUCUCGGAAGCUAAGCACAGUCGAGCCUAGUUAGUACUUGGAUGGGAGAUCACCUACGAAGACCAGCUGCUGUAGGCA
This 119-nucleotide ribosomal RNA is filed under the name Pteropus alecto (black flying fox). The record is from RNAcentral. Lineage: Eukaryota; Metazoa; Chordata; Mammalia; Chiroptera; Pteropodidae.